Molecule: long non-coding RNA, 242 nt
Organism: Saccostrea cuccullata (small rock oyster)
Lineage: Eukaryota; Metazoa; Mollusca; Bivalvia; Ostreida; Ostreidae
Exons: 2
Source: RefSeq, a predicted model, not a curated record
AACGUGCUUUCGAAUAUCGUCUAAUCUUCACGGUUGGUUUUUCUCGAACUUCCGGAAGAGAUAACGUGGUCACAUGGAACGACAUCCAUCACAAAACAAGGAGAGAUGGAGGGCCUGAAAAAUAUGGCUAUCCUGAUCCAGAAUACUUGUCAGAAAUUAGAGAUGAACUGAAUGCCAAAGGAAUUUCAGAGGAAUGAAAACUGAUACUUUACCUGAAAUGACAAUAAAGAUGCUGUUUUUUA